RNAcentral lists this unclassified non-coding RNA (378 nucleotides) under uncultured Actinomycetes bacterium. RNAcentral's name for it is "uncultured actinobacterium contains 16S-23S intergenic spacer region". Lineage: Bacteria; Bacillati; Actinomycetota; Actinomycetes. The record is from RNAcentral.
UCCGAGUUGACCCCGGCAGUCUCCUAUGAGUUCCCGGCAUUACCCGCUGGCAACACGCCACGGGGGUUGCGCUCGUUGCGGGACUUAACCCAACAUCUCACGACACGAGCUGACGACAGCCAUGCACCACCUGUGCACUGGCCCCGAAGGGCUGUCGUAUUUCUACGACAUUCCAGUGCAUGUCAAGCCCUGGUAAGGUUCUUCGCGUUGCGUCGAAUUAAAGAACAUGCUCCGCUGCUUGUGCGGGCCCCCGUCAAUUCUUUUGAGUUUUAGCCUUGCGGCCGUACUCCCCAGGCGGAACACUUAACGCGUUGGCUGCGGCACAGAGGGAUUCGACUCCCCCCACACCUAGUGUUCAUCGUUUACGGCUAGGACUAC